This 413-nucleotide unclassified non-coding RNA is filed under the name soil metagenome. RNAcentral's name for it is "partial contains 5.8S ribosomal RNA, internal transcribed spacer 2, and large subunit ribosomal RNA". The stretch from base 1 to 120 matches the Rfam family "5.8S ribosomal RNA", at positions 35 to 154 of the family's 154-position model. The record is from RNAcentral.
GAUGAAGAACGUAGUGAAAUGCGAUAAGUAAUGUGAAUUGCAGAAUUCAGUGAAUCAUCGAAUCUUUGAACGCACCUUGCGCUCUUUGGUAUUCCGAAGAGCAUGCCUGUUUGAGUGUCAUGAAAAUAUCAACCUUGACUUGGGUUUUGUGCUCUAGUCUCGGCUUGGAAUUGGGUGCUUGCCGCUUUUACGAGCGGCUCACCUUAAAUGUAUUAGCUGGAUCUGUCUUUGAGACUUGGUUUGACUUGGCGUAAUAAGUAUUUCGCUAAGGACAUUCUUCGGAGUGGCCUCGUUUCUAGGACGCUUGUCCGCUUUCCAAUACAAGUUCCACCUCGUGGACAUGACUUUUUAUUAUCUGGCCUCAAAUCAGGUAGGACUACCCGCUGAACUUAAGCAUAUCAAUAAGCGGAGGA